UACGUAGGGUGCAAGCGUUGUCCGGAAUUAUUGGGCGUAAAGAGCUUGUAGGCGGUUUGUCGCGUCUGCUGUGAAAUUUCGGGGCUCAACCCCGAACUUGCAGUGGGUACGGGCAGACUAGAGUGUGGUAGGGGAGACUGGAAUUCCUGGUGUAGCGGUGAAAUGCGCAGAUAUCAGGAGGAACACCCGAGUGGCAAGGCAGGCUCUGGCGACUACUGCGUGAGAAGCGAAGAACUGGGG
RNAcentral lists this ribosomal RNA (240 nucleotides) under uncultured bacterium. RNAcentral describes it as "partial 16S ribosomal RNA". It matches the Rfam family "Bacterial small subunit ribosomal RNA", at positions 524 to 766 of the family's 1533-position model. The record is from RNAcentral.